AUUGAACGCUGGCGGCAGGCCUAACACAUGCAAGUCGAGCGAGCGGCGGGCGGGUGUGUAAUGUCUGGGGACUGCCCGAGAGAGGGGGAUAACUCCUGGAAACGGUCGCUAAUACCGCAUACUCUAGGAUAACCCAUAUGGGAUUAGCUAGUAGGUGAGGUAAUGGCUCACCUAGGCGACGAUCCCUAGCGGGUCUGCGCGGAUGCACAGCCACACGGGGACUGUGACACGGCCCAGACGCCAACGGAGGCAGCAGUGGGGAAUAUUGCACAAUGGGCGCAAGCCUGAUGCAGCCAUGGCGCGUGUAUGAAGAAGGCCCUAGGGUUGGAAAGUACUUUCAGUCGGGAGGCGUUACCGACAGAAGAAGCACCGGCUAACUCCGUGCCAGCAGCCGCGGUAAUAC
RNAcentral lists this ribosomal RNA (403 nucleotides) under uncultured bacterium. RNAcentral describes it as "partial 16S ribosomal RNA". It matches the Rfam family "Bacterial small subunit ribosomal RNA", at positions 29 to 526 of the family's 1533-position model. The record is from RNAcentral.